UAGGGUUUGAUCAUGGCUCAGGAUGAACGCUAGCGGCAGGCCUAAUACAUGCAAGUCGAACGGUGUCUUCGGACAUAGUGGCGCACGGGUGCGUAACACGUAUGCAACCUACCUUACAUUGGGGGAUAGCCUUUCGAAAGGGAGAUUAAUACCGCAUAAGACAGUAGUCUGGCAUCAGACAGCUGUUAAAGAUUUAUCGAUGUAAGCUGGGCAUGCGUCCAAUUAGUUAGUUGGCGAGGUAACGGCUCACCAAGACUAUGAUUGGUAGGGGAACUGAGAGGUCAAUCCCCCACACUGGCACUGAGAUACGGGCCAGACUCCUACGGGAGGCAGCAGUAGGGAAUAUUGGGCAAUGGACGCAAGUCUGACCCAGCCAUGCCGCGUGCAGGAAGAAGGCGUUAUGCGUUGUAAACUGCUUUUAUACAGGAAGAAACGACUCUUGCGAGAGGCAUUGACGGUACUGUAUGAAUAAGCACCGGCUAACUCCGUGCCAGCAGCCGCGGUAAUAC
RNAcentral lists this ribosomal RNA (509 nucleotides) under uncultured Arcicella sp. Its description in RNAcentral is "bacterial SSU rRNA". It matches the Rfam family "Bacterial small subunit ribosomal RNA", at positions 1 to 526 of the family's 1533-position model. The record is from RNAcentral. Lineage: Bacteria; Pseudomonadati; Bacteroidota; Cytophagia; Cytophagales; Flectobacillaceae.